CCUCUCUGAACCUUCCUGGGGCAUUGUAGAGUUCUCAGAGAGCUCAGGGGCCCCCAGUCAAGAGACAGAAGCCCCACCGAUUACUUGAAGAGAGAAGAUUUAAUGUAGAGAACAGUUAGUAAGGUUCUCGGCUGUGGCUCUGCAACAAAAGACACAUAAAUAAGACACUGAAGCUGGAAAAGGCAGCGUUCGUGCCGUCUGUCACCACCAGAACCAACAAGGAGAGACAAGGGUCGAGUCUUUGUGGGUGCUUUAAUCAGGUGCCGGCAAUCUGAGAAUACGGCAGGUUAUGUACCCCCCAAAACCAUCUUAACAGUUCAUCGGAAGCUGCUGUUUUCAUAAGAAGAAGAACAGUGACUCAGAUGCCACCUCCUCCCCUGCAGAUGGCCCGGGGCACAAGGCGGGAUUGCUUGUGGACCUCCCGGAGUCACGUAGGUCGCGCAUUCCAGUUCCUGGAAAACGGCUUUCCACGGGCUUUAAUCACUUACGCCU
This is a long non-coding RNA of Phyllostomus hastatus (greater spear-nosed bat), 492 nucleotides long. RefSeq lists it as uncharacterized. The transcript has 3 exons. Lineage: Eukaryota; Metazoa; Chordata; Mammalia; Chiroptera; Phyllostomidae. The record is from RefSeq and is a predicted model, not a curated record.